GAUCCUGGCUCGGGACGAACGCUGGCGGCGCGCCUAACACAUGCAAGUCGAACGAGCGAGAGAGAGCUUGCUUUCUCGAGCGAGUGGCGAACGGGUGAGUAACGCGUGAGGAACCUGCCUCAAAGAGGGGGACAACAGUUGGAAACGACUGCUAAUACCGCAUAAGCCUACGACCCGGCAUCGGGUAGAGGGAAAAGGAGCAAUCCGCUUUGAGAUGGCCUCGCGUCCGAUUAGCUAGUUGGUGAGG
RNAcentral lists this ribosomal RNA (247 nucleotides) under uncultured bacterium. RNAcentral's name for it is "partial 16S ribosomal RNA". It matches the Rfam family "Bacterial small subunit ribosomal RNA", at positions 15 to 257 of the family's 1533-position model. The record is from RNAcentral.